This 853-nucleotide ribosomal RNA is filed under the name uncultured Bacteroidales bacterium. RNAcentral's name for it is "bacterial SSU rRNA". It matches the Rfam family "Bacterial small subunit ribosomal RNA", at positions 28 to 877 of the family's 1533-position model. The record is from RNAcentral. Lineage: Bacteria; Pseudomonadati; Bacteroidota; Bacteroidia; Bacteroidales.
GAUGAACGCUAGCUACAGGCUUAACACAUGCAAGUCGAGGGGCAGCAUUGGAGUAGCAAUACUUCAGAUGGCGACCGGCGCACGGGUGAGUAACACGUAUCCAACCUGCCGCUUACUCGGGGAUAGCCUUUCGAAAGAAAGAUUAAUACCCGAUGGUAUAAAGAGUUCGCAUGUUCUCUUUAUUAAAGAAUUUCGGUAAGCGAUGGGGAUGCGUUCCAUUAGAUAGUUGGCGGGGUAACGGCCCACCAAGUCUACGAUGGAUAGGGGUUCUGAGAGGAAGGUCCCCCACAUUGGAACUGAGACACGGUCCAAACUCCUACGGGAGGCAGCAGUGAGGAAUAUUGGUCAAUGGACGAGAGUCUGAACCAGCCAAGUAGCGUGAAGGAUGACUGCCCUAUGGGUUGUAAACUUCUUUAUAAGGGAAUAAAGUGAGGGACGUGUCCCUUUUUGUAUGUACCUUAUGAAUAAGGAUCGGCUAACUCCGUGCCAGCAGCCGCGGUAAUACGGAGGAUCCAAGCGUUAUCCGGAUUUAUUGGGUUUAAAGGGAGCGUAGGUUGACAUAUAAGUCAGCUGUGAAAGUUUACGGCUCAACCGUGAAAUUGCAGUUGAUACUGUAUGUCUUGAGUGUACAAGAGGUGGGCGGAAUUCGUGGUGUAGCGGUGAAAUGCUUAGAUAUCACGAAGAACUCCAAUUGCGAAGGCAGCUCACUGGGGUACAACUGACACUGAGGCUCGAAAGUGUGGGUAUCAAACAGGAUUAGAUACCCUGGUAGUCCACACAGUAAACGAUGAAUACUCGCUGUUUGCGAUAUACAGUAAGCGGCCAAGCGAAAGCAUUAAGUAUUCCACCUGGG